RNAcentral lists this long non-coding RNA (684 nucleotides) under Fukomys damarensis (Damara mole-rat). RNAcentral's name for it is "lncRNA (ENSFDAG00000027446.1)". The record is from RNAcentral. Lineage: Eukaryota; Metazoa; Chordata; Mammalia; Rodentia; Bathyergidae.
CCCUGUUUGUUUGUGGUUUGAAAUUGCUUGGAUUUCAGUGUCUCUGUCCUGCUCUCUGUGUCCCAGGGGUGUAGUGUAUUUUUCCUGACUCAGAAAUUUCACUGUUUUGAAGGAGGUAAAAAUAGUCUAGAAAACAGUUUUGUUUUUUUUUUUCUUUAUAGCAAAUGGAAGAACAUGAAGCCGAGACAGCUCGUGAACUGAGAUGAGAAUACAAAGCAAGUGUGAAUGCUUGUAUUGCUAUUGCUACCUAAAAUGAGGGCAAAUCAGAAAAGUGAAAGAGAAAUGUAAGGUCCUCAUUUGUGUGAGCCUUUAUGUUAAGAUUUUGCAUGGAUUCAAGCCAGGAGAUGCCCUGACUGCACAACUAAAGACACUCAUGAAGAGAGCAUCCAGAACUGCUUCACCAAGCGCCAAGACUGAGGGGGUCAGUGUGCUGGAAUCAAUGAACAUCACUGUAUAUUUAGGGGAAUAAACGUCAAUGUGUCUUUUACAGCAACUUUAAAAGUUUAAAUCAUCACCAUAUGUUUUGAUCAUACUUCAUGUGGUCCUGGCCCCUAACAAUGUUUCCUGCUUUGCUUCCAGGAUGACUGAAUUGAGCAGCUUUUCUUUCUUUCUUUCUUUCUUUCUUUCUUUCUUUCUUUCUUUCUUUCUUUCUUUCUAACCACAUGCUUUUUCUAUGAUAUUUUU